RNAcentral lists this ribosomal RNA (214 nucleotides) under uncultured bacterium. Its description in RNAcentral is "partial 16S ribosomal RNA". It matches the Rfam family "Bacterial small subunit ribosomal RNA", at positions 107 to 334 of the family's 1533-position model. The record is from RNAcentral.
UGAGUAACGCGUAGGAACCUGUCGCACAGUGGGGGAUAACGCUGGGAAGCCGGCGCUAAUACCGCAUGUGGUCAGAGAUGAAGAAAGCAGCAAUGCGCUGUGUGAGGGGCCUGCGUCCGAUUAGUUAGUUGGUGGGGUAAAGGCCUACCAAGGCGUCGAUCGGUAGCUGGUCUGAGAGGAUGGUCAGCCACACUGGGACUGAGACACGGCCCAG